RNAcentral lists this ribosomal RNA (523 nucleotides) under uncultured bacterium. RNAcentral describes it as "bacterial SSU rRNA". It matches the Rfam family "Bacterial small subunit ribosomal RNA", at positions 777 to 1297 of the family's 1533-position model. The record is from RNAcentral.
AAUAGAUACCCGGGUAGUCCACGCCGUAAACGAUGAGUGCUAAGUGUUAGAGGGUUUCCGCCCUUUAGUGCUGCAGCAAACGCAUUAAGCACUCCGCCUGGGGAGUCCGGCCGCAAGGCUGAAACUCAAAGGAAUUGACAGGGACCCGCACAAGCGGUGGAGCAUGUGGUUUAAUUCGAAGCAACGCGAAGAACCUUACCAGGUCUUGACAUCCUCUGACCAUCCUAGAGAUAGGACCUUCCCCUUCGGGGGACAGAGUGACAGGUGGUGCAUGGUUGUCGUCAGCUCGUGUCGUGAGAUGUUGGGUUAAGUCCCGCAACGAGCGCAACCCUUGUUCUUAGUUGCCAUCAUUUAGUUGGGCACUCUAAGGAGACUGCCGGUGACAAACCGGGAGGAAGGUGGGGAUGACGUCAAAUCAUCAUGCCCCUUAUGACCUGGGCUACACACGUGCUACAAUGGAUGGUGCAAAGGGCUGCAAGACCGCGAGGUCAAGCCAAUCCCAUAAAACCAUUCUCAGUUCGGA